This 493-nucleotide ribosomal RNA is filed under the name uncultured bacterium. RNAcentral describes it as "bacterial SSU rRNA". It matches the Rfam family "Bacterial small subunit ribosomal RNA", at positions 25 to 507 of the family's 1533-position model. The record is from RNAcentral.
CAGGAUGAACGCUAGCUACAGGCUUAACACAUGCAAGUCGAGGGAAACGAUAGAGAAAGCUUGCUUUUCUAGGCGUCGACCGGCGCACGGGUGAGUAACGCGUAUCCAACCUGCCCAUCACUUGGGGAUAAACCUUGCGAAAGUAAGACUAAUACCCAAUGACGUCUCUAGAAGACAUCUGAAGGAGAUUAAAGAUUUAUCGGUGAUGGAUGGGGAUGCGUCUGAUUAGCUUGUUGGCGGGGUAACGGCCACCAAGGCGACGAUCAGUAGGGGUUCUGAGAGGAAGGCCCCCCACAUUGGAACUGAGACACGGUCCAAACUCCUACGGGAGGCAGCAGUGAGGAAUAUUGGUCAAUGGACGAGAGUCUGAACCAGCCAAGUAGCGUGCAGGAUGACGGCCCUAUGGGUUGUAAACUGCUUUUAUAAGGGAAUAAAGUGAGUCUCGUGAGACUUUUUGCAUGUACCUUAUGAAUAAGGACCGGCUAAUUCCGUG